UACGUAGGGGCUAGCGUUGUCCGGAAUUAUUGGGUCGGUAAAGAGCGUGGUAGGCGGUCAGAACAUGGUCCGAUUGUGAAACUAGAGGCUUAAACCUCCUUAGAACGUCGAUUGGAAACCGUCUAGGCUAGGAGUCCGGGAAGAGGAAGUGUGGAAUUCCUGGUGUAGCGGUGAAAUGCGCAGAUAUCAGGAGAACACCGGUGGCGAAGGCGGUCUCUGGGCAUUACCUGACGUGAGGAGCGAAAGUGUGGGAGGCGAACAGGA
This 264-nucleotide ribosomal RNA is filed under the name uncultured bacterium. Its description in RNAcentral is "partial 16S ribosomal RNA". It matches the Rfam family "Bacterial small subunit ribosomal RNA", at positions 524 to 777 of the family's 1533-position model. The record is from RNAcentral.